RNAcentral lists this transfer RNA (73 nucleotides) under Marmota monax (woodchuck). RNAcentral describes it as "tRNA.Val". It matches the Rfam family "tRNA". From Rfam's summary of the family: Transfer RNA (tRNA) molecules are approximately 80 nucleotides in length. Their secondary structure includes four short double-helical elements and three loops (D, anti-codon, and T loops). The record is from RNAcentral. Lineage: Eukaryota; Metazoa; Chordata; Mammalia; Rodentia; Sciuridae.
GUGGGGUUGUGGCUCAGUGGUAGAGCACUUGCUUCACAUGUGUGAAGCACUGGAUUCAAUCCUCAGCACCACA